Molecule: long non-coding RNA, 622 nt
Organism: Mustela lutreola (European mink)
Lineage: Eukaryota; Metazoa; Chordata; Mammalia; Carnivora; Mustelidae
Exons: 2
Source: RefSeq, a predicted model, not a curated record
GGGGAGGGGGGAGAGGGUGGAUCCUUAUUUAUUUAUUUACUUACUUACUUAUUUCCAUAAGGACCUGUCGCCUGCCUUCGAGGUUGUGUUGAUAUUUUUUUUCCUCCUUUUUUUUUUUUUUCCCUCCUCUCUCCUCUAAUUGCUCAGAGUGGGUCAUGUCCCCCUCUUCCCACUCCCCCGGGAAGAUUCCCCCAACUCUGUGCAGACAUCUGUGACCCACCCAGCCUUGCACACAGAUACACACUCCAUUUCUGGCUGCCGGCGCCACCAACCACAGCUCGGCGCCUCCGGAGGCUGCUCAAGGACCUGGACACGGGAGCCGCAGGACUCAGCGCUCGGCCUGGGCGCUUGGCUGCCCGGCAGCCACUGCAGCUGCCCCACUCACCCCUGCCAAUUCUUGAUUUCAAGAGCAGGGGGAGAGCGGUGGCCCCACCAGCCCCUUUUGUGCCACUGGGCAAAGGCUGAAAUCCCUCUUGCAGUUUCAAUAAUUGUUCAGCUCACCUUACAAUCCCACUGUUUGGUUAAGGUUUUGCUGUUCUAGGGCGACUGCUCAGUUGGCCCAACUGGCUUCUGAUUAGAAUUUUUUAACUUAAAAAUUAAAAAAUAAAUCCUACUCCAAAUG